AAAUUGAAGAGUUUGAUCAUGGCUCAGAUUGAACGCUGGCGGCAGGCCUAACACAUGCAAGUCGAGCGGAAACGAGUUAUCUGAACCUUCGGGGGACGAUAACGGCGUCGAGCGGCGGACGGGUGAGUAAUGCCUAGGAAAUUGCCCUGAUGUGGGGGAUAACCAUUGGAAACGAUGGCUAAUACCGCAUGAUGCCUACGGGCCAAAGAGGGGGACCUUCGGGCCUCUCGCGUCAGGAUAUGCCUAGGUGGGAUUAGCUAGUUGGUGAGGUAAGGGCUCACCAAGGCGACGAUCCCUAGCUGGUCUGAGAGGAUGAUCAGCCACACUGGAACUGAGACACGGUCCAGACUCCUACGGGAGGCAGCAGUGGGGAAUAUUGCACAAUGGGCGCAAGCCUGAUGCAGCCAUGCCGCGUGUGUGAAGAAGGCCUUCGGGUUGUAAAGC
RNAcentral lists this ribosomal RNA (444 nucleotides) under Vibrio parahaemolyticus. RNAcentral describes it as "bacterial SSU rRNA". It matches the Rfam family "Bacterial small subunit ribosomal RNA", at positions 1 to 431 of the family's 1533-position model. The record is from RNAcentral. Lineage: Bacteria; Pseudomonadati; Pseudomonadota; Gammaproteobacteria; Vibrionales; Vibrionaceae.